Molecule: ribosomal RNA, 253 nt
Filed under: uncultured bacterium
Lineage: Bacteria
Description: partial 16S ribosomal RNA
Rfam family: Bacterial small subunit ribosomal RNA
Source: RNAcentral
UACGUAGGGGGCAAGCGUUGUCCGGAAUUAUUGGGCGUAAAGAGCUUGUAGGCGGUUUGUUGCGUCUGCCGUGAAAGUCCGGGGCUCAACUCCGGAUCUGCGGUGGGUACGGGCAGACUAGAGUGAUGUAGGGGAGACUGGAAUUCCUGGUGUAGCGGUGAAAUGCGCAGAUAUCAGGAGGAACACCGAUGGCGAAGGCAGGUCUCUGGGCAUUAACUGACGCUGAGGAGCGAAAGCAUGGGGAGCGAACAGG